RNAcentral lists this long non-coding RNA (647 nucleotides) under Callithrix jacchus (white-tufted-ear marmoset). RNAcentral describes it as "lncRNA (ENSCJAG00000079624.1)". The record is from RNAcentral. Lineage: Eukaryota; Metazoa; Chordata; Mammalia; Primates; Cebidae.
UCAAGCUAGUGAGUCAGAAGUGCUUAUUGGUCAGGGAUGAAAUCAUAAGGAGUUGAUUUCUUAAGCUAAAUCAGUUCCUGGGUGGAAGCCGCAAGAUCAGAUGAGCCGGUUCAUUGGUCUGGGUGGAACCAGCUAAUCCAUCAAGUGCAACGCCUACAAAAUAUCUCAAGCACAGAUCUUAGGAGCAGUUUAGGGAGAGUCAGAAUCUUGUAGCCUCCAGCUGCAGUCCUAAACCAUGAUUCCUAAUCCUGUGGCUGCUGAUAGUCCCACAAAGACAAUCUAGUCCUCAGGCAAGAAGGAGGUCUGCUUUGGGAAAGAACUGUUACUGUCCUUGUUUAAACUAUCAACUAUAAAGUCCAAAAGGGAGUGUGGUUUCAAAGGCAAGGCCUUCCCAGUGCCAUACCUCCACUUACUUCUCCAUCCAGGAGCUUAGAGGUCUUUGUUUAACUUUCACGCAUGCGGGAAGAUGGACUGCCCAGGCUACCCUUCUCAAAGAUGAAAAAAAUCUGGAUGGGGUGGCAAAUAAGAAACAGGCCACCUGGACCUUCUUGAAGGGGAUCUCAUUCAGGAAGGCCAUUGGAGGGGCCAAGCAAUUCUUCAGAAGCAUGAUUUAGCUGAAGAAGAGAGAACUUGAAGUGAAUACCUUU